Molecule: transfer RNA, 67 nt
Filed under: Marmota monax (woodchuck)
Lineage: Eukaryota; Metazoa; Chordata; Mammalia; Rodentia; Sciuridae
Rfam family: tRNA
About the family: Transfer RNA (tRNA) molecules are approximately 80 nucleotides in length.
Source: Rfam by way of RNAcentral
GAGGUUGUGGCUCAGUGGUAGAGCACUCGCCUAGCAUGUGUGAGGCCCUGGGUUCAAGGCCACCUUA